RNAcentral lists this transfer RNA (67 nucleotides) under uncultured Entomoneis. It matches the Rfam family "tRNA". Rfam says of the family: Transfer RNA (tRNA) molecules are approximately 80 nucleotides in length. Their secondary structure includes four short double-helical elements and three loops (D, anti-codon, and T loops). Further hydrogen bonds mediate the characteristic L-shaped molecular structure. tRNAs have two regions of fundamental functional importance: the anti-codon, which is responsible for specific mRNA codon recognition, and the 3' end, to which the tRNAs corresponding amino acid is attached (by aminoacyl-tRNA synthetases). tRNAs cope with the degeneracy of the genetic code in two manners: having more than one tRNA (with a specific anti-codon) for a particular amino acid; and 'wobble' base-pairing, i.e. permitting non-standard base-pairing at the 3rd anti-codon position. Lineage: Eukaryota; Bacillariophyta; Bacillariophyceae; Surirellales; Surirellaceae. The record is from RNAcentral.
AAUUAUAGCUUAAUGGUUUGAGCAUUAAAUUGUGGUUUUAACGGCUGUAAGUUCGAGUCUUAUUAAU